UGGUGGGAAAACGGUGGAAAUUUUUCUUUUCACGACGAACAAACAGAGGACUGAAAAUCCUUGUGUCGGCAGUUCAAUUCUGUCCCAAGCCA
RNAcentral lists this transfer RNA (92 nucleotides) under Fidelibacterota bacterium. Its description in RNAcentral is "tRNA-Phe". Lineage: Bacteria; Pseudomonadati; Fidelibacterota. The record is from RNAcentral.